RNAcentral lists this long non-coding RNA (1077 nucleotides) under Nicotiana tabacum (common tobacco). RNAcentral describes it as "long non-coding RNA (NTAB_LNC016143)". The record is from RNAcentral. Lineage: Eukaryota; Viridiplantae; Streptophyta; Magnoliopsida; Solanales; Solanaceae.
GGGCUUGAGUGAAGCCUGUGACGCAUACUUGGAUGUCAAGAGAGCACUGGGUCAACGCUAAGGCCAAGCUGCGUGAAACCAAUGUAACCAAUUAAACAAUACUACAGUUCUUCAUUCAUAAGAGAUUACGACUAAAGCAGCUACUGUCCAUUUUGCAAAAAAAGGGCUUGGACGAAUGCAAAACAGAUUUCAUACUACUAAAUUUUAUCCUACAAGUACACAUAUACUAAGGCUGCCAUAACUCAGUGUACUAUUAACCUCAUUCCCAGAAUAAUUCGAGACCCAUAGCCAAACAACUGCACAAUUCUCAAACAAAGAAAACAUCGACUAACAUGAGCCUUAGCUUAACAUUUUCUGGUUUCAAAUCUAUGCUGGUCAUUUUGGCAACUCAAAUGACAAUCAAUCCCAAAACAAAAACGAAUUUCAGCUUGACUAAAAUAAAUCUAAAUAAUAUGUGAGUCAAUUAAACCUUCUAAUACUAUAAUUCCUACAAAUCCAUAUACAUUAAAACCAUGCUUCAAUAACCUCAUAUCCCCAAACUACCGGAUUGUAACAGGUGUUAAAGUUUACAUAUCAAGUUUAAUCUAGUAACAUUGUAUCUAAUAGCACAAAAGGAGCAGAUCAUACAUGAGGAAGAACUAACUUAUAAUAUACAUUUGCAUGAAUUCAAAUUAAAAAAAGAUGAAGCUGAUCAAACGUAUAAGCCCAAAGCUUCCAACUAAAACAACAAUAGCAAAUAUUUCAUUUCAGCAUGCCAAAUAAGGUUCAGUAGAUACCUGGUUACAACAAAUAAACAAGGAACAUUCUGAGGUUAAGAAGGAGCAGCAACAGUAAACAUCAUUGUAACAGUGCAAAAAAUCAGCAGCUCAACAAAACUUUAAACCCCAAACUCAAACAUUUCUCUCAACCAGCAAUAAAAUCAAAACCACAGCUUCUUCAAUCCAGUAGAGAAAACCAAUGGAUAACAGACUUUAGAGUCUCAGAACACUUUCAUAAACAUUAUGAAAUUCCAAAGAAAAAUUAAACCAAUUUGAAACAAAGAAAUGCAAGAAUUUCAGUGUCUUCUUCAAAGUUUUC